AAGCGGCGCCGGGCGGGAGAAGAGCGGAGCAGUGGUCGGAGAUGUGGCGACCGUUUCUGGCGUCAUUCUGAGACUCGGCAGUUGCUUCUCACUGCUGCGGCCGGGCCUGUCUGCGGGAGCUGCAUCCUCCUCAUCUGCAGGCGCUGGAAAACCAGACACGAUCGGACAUGCAUGUGGUUCUGCGGCCAAAGCACGCCCUUUGGUUGUGAACUUCAUGAUACCUGUGUGCAGCUCUGUCAUUUCCACUCUGCUCUGCUGCA
This 260-nucleotide small RNA is filed under the name Pan troglodytes (chimpanzee). Its description in RNAcentral is "processed transcript". The record is from RNAcentral. Lineage: Eukaryota; Metazoa; Chordata; Mammalia; Primates; Hominidae.